UAAUUCCCAUGUAAAUUUAACUGUUAAUCUAAAGAGGUACAGCUCUUUAGAUCUAGGAUACAACCUUAAUUAGAGAGUAAAUCCAAAUAAACAACCAUAGUUGGCCCAAAAGCAGCCAUCAAUUAAGAAAGCGUUCAAGCUCAACAAAUAAUUACUCUUAAUUCAAGACUUUACAAUCACCUCCUAAUCAAACACUGGACUAAUCUAUAAUAUUAUAGAAGUAAUACUGUUAAUAUGAGUAACAAGAUUUAAAUCUCCCAAGCGCAAACUUAUGUCAGACCAAAUAAUAACUGAUAAUUAACAGCCAAUCAAACCAAACCUAAAAAUUAAUAAUUUAUGUUUUUACUGUUAACCCGACACAGGAGCGCUACAUAUUAAGGAAAGAUUAAAAGAAGUAAAAGGAACUCGGCAAACAUAAACCCCGCCUGUUUACCAAAAACAUCACCUCUAGCAUCUCAAGUAUUAGAGGCACUGCCUGCCCAGUGACAAUUGUUUAACGGCCGCGGUAUCCUGACCGUGCAAAGGUAGCAUAAUCAUUUGUUCUUUAAAUAAGGACUUGUAUGAAUGGCCACACGAGGGUUUAACUGUCUCUUACUUCCAAUCAGUGAAAUUGACCUUUCCGUGAAGAGGCGGAAAUAAAUUAAUAAGACGAGAAGACCCUAUGGAGCUUUAAUUUAUUUUAUCCAAAAAGAAAUAAUUUAUUCACAAAUUAGUGAUCUAACAGAUAUUCUAUACUGGAUAAAAAAUUUUGGUUGGGGUGACCUCGGAGAACAAAACAACCUCCGAGAAUCUAAUACCAAGACUCACAAGUCAAAGUAAAUCAUACCACUGAUCCAGUCUAACUGAUCAACGGAACAAGUUACCCUAGGGAUAACAGCGCAAUCCUAUUUAAGAGUCCAUAUCGACAAUAGGGUUUACGACCUCGAUGUUGGAUCAGGACAUCCUAAUGGUGCAGCCGCUAUUAAUGGUUCGUUU
This 975-nucleotide ribosomal RNA is filed under the name Chodsigoa parca (Lowe's shrew). RNAcentral describes it as "partial 16S ribosomal RNA". It matches the Rfam family "Bacterial large subunit ribosomal RNA", at positions 958 to 2578 of the family's 2925-position model. The record is from RNAcentral. Lineage: Eukaryota; Metazoa; Chordata; Mammalia; Eulipotyphla; Soricidae.